CUUGCACAUCAUAACUGGAAUUCUCCGCUCUUUCUGCGCAUGCGCGAGGAGUAGUGGGUGCGAGAGAGAAAUGUGGGGACUUUCGGUCCCUGAAAUUUCUCUUCGUCUAGGUACUACGGGGACGAAAGUUGUUAGCGCCGUUCGUCCCUAGCCGAGCUGGCAGCACAGAAUCGACAGAAUGCGUGCCGGCAAGGCGAAGAAGCCGUGUCCGAGGUGUCCAUGCUCCUGCAGUCCUGUGGUGACCCUGUGGAGCUGGAUCCGGCCUCGUGGAAACACAGCCGGCUCAUCAGUCACAAAGUAGGAGCUGAAGAGAACAGUCUAAUGCUGAUAUUACACCUGAUUAUAUAGUGCUUAACUUGUGGUUAGCAGUGACAAAGGCAUUGCACUAAAGAUUGAGAGUAUGUCUUAAUACGCAGCGCUUAUCUGGCGAAUAGGAGAGCAGAAGGUAUAGGCUCUGUAUUUAUGUGUGCUGCAUUGAGGCCGAGAUCGUAUAGCGACACGUCUUUAUUUUGGUGAAGUGCAUGCCUCCUCGGGCGGAUGACACGAAGCAACUGCCUGCUGCCAUCAUGUGCCUAAUGUACUUAAAGCGAGCAAUAAAGAGAGAAUUUAGUUUCGCACGUCGCCCCCUUCGUCUUGUUUAACUCGUCGCUGUUCGGCUGUUACGCAGCGUAGCUCGGCUAGUCCGAACUUGUCAGAUUGCCGGCAUCGUCCCCUGCUCCGCAAAGCACAGUCUGCAGUGAUCGCUUCACCAACGAUGGACGCUUCUGCAGUGACGGCGUGUUGAACUGGCUGCAAAUCAUGGAAGAAAGAAAAUCUCCAAAUUGAUGUGAAAAACAGUUACGGUUUCGGUUUUCUGCUGCUCGAAGCGCCAUCUGCUUCCUGUAGAAAAGGUGUCAUGGCGGCUUCCUGUUUUACUUUCAGUUGAAGUAGCUGAGGCUCAAAGUUUUCUUAUGCUGUUAUUCACAACGCAGUGCUAUUAAAUACAUAUGUGUCUACACUACAAGUGUUUGGGGAACAUCUGGAAAGUCGUGCAUCGAUACUUGUGCGAGUCUUUGUAUACGCGUCAUACCGGGAGGUUUUCAUUGGUCUUCAAGUCCUAGCAACAGUAAAGCACUGCGCUUCACACAGGACCUAGAUGCUGAGCAACGACAAUCUUGUGUGCAAGAUGUCCGUAUGUUACAACACCGCCCUACUCCCCAGAGCGCACAUAGAGGAAGUAUUCAGUGUCACUGCUGAUGUCUUCACGGCAAAAACUAGGAAAGAUGACUGUCAGCAAUUUUUUAAAAGGGUAAGCAAUGUAUGAAGGGCUGCAAAGGACACACUAAAUGUUUCAGGCCAGCUUGUUCUGAAUGCGGUAUCUGUGCAAUGUUAUUAACAGGGGUGGGACUCCUGCGCCAAUUGUGCAUUUUUGUUACCCAGAAGCAAAUUCCUGCGCCAAACACAGAAAAUUGACCGAAAUUGCACCACGCUGCGCCAGAAAAACUUCGACAGUGGCGGUGAACAGCGACCGGAUUCGUUCUCCGAAAAAGAGUGCAACCAUUCACGGGUUACGCACACCACGUGACGGCACCUCCCGCAGAGUUUCUCAUAAUUUUCGCACUUAUAACACUGGACUUUUCAGUGCGCGGCCACUGCCGGAUGUUGUUGCUGCUGUCGGAAUGGCUAGGGCGGCUGAGUGGCGCAGCGUUCCCUAGCUGAGGUGCUGAGAAGUAUGCUGAGAGCGCUGCGAGCGAACUAGAUAUUUCGGAGGCAUGCAAUGCAGUGGGUGAAGCGGGCAGGCGCCUGUGUCCCCAAGGCCAGUAUGACAUAAAACUAUUCCAAUCUGUUUUUAUGCCCAUAUGGUUGAGGCGUGAGCCAUUUUGACCUAUCACGAAGGGCUAAUGGCGGAUUUGGAAUAAGACGUCGCAGUAUCGCCCGAAAGGCGAAGCAUCGAUUGAGAUAGCAAAUUAGUAGACAGCUAUACGAAGCAAGAAGUACUUUUAUCGGCCUUAUAAACUUGUAAACAUGUGUUCACUCACUAAAUUAACAAUCAUGGUGUCACGCGUGCACAAGCAAACAUGAACACAGCUCACUCGAUUACCACAAAAACUCGCUGGGAAACGCUGGAGUGAGCAAGCACGGCGGCAGCAGCGGGCGAAUUCACCUUUGUGCUGCCUCGCUUCAACGCGAACUAAGUGGCGAAAAACAGCACACACGAAGCUAUCAGCAGUCUCACUAUGUCCCUAUCGCAGAUCGCUCUCAAGAUAGGGCCCGUGCGGCAGCACCAUACGCAGCAGCCACCACAGUAGAACAACCCCUCUUCCCGGUUCCCUGCGGGCGAUGGAAGAUGGCGCGCUUCGUCCCUGCCUACCUCCCUCGCACGCGCGAGAUUGGGCCGCCAUUGUCGGCUCAUCCUCACGCUUUCACUCGCACAUACAGUAUGUACGUUACUGUACGUGCUUACAGCUUAUACAGCACAUACAGCGAUGAUGUUAUCGCCCCUGGACUUUGUAUGGAACAUUAUGGCGAUGCCAGAAAUGCGCCUGGAGUGCUCAUAUAAUUGCUAUCGCAACAAAAACAAAUUGGAAUAGUUUUACAUUAUACCAGCCCAGGGUUGAUUACAGCUCUCUUGGUCUGCGGUGACACAUGGUGACAUAGAAAUUAUGUUACAGCGUUGGUUGGACCGCAUAAUUUCAGUACAUUUUCCGCUAUCGUCAGGAACGUAGGCGCGGAAAUAUUCAGUUUUAUCGUUGUGCAACAGGAUGUUUCCGGCUUUACAGGAAAGCAUGCGCCGAGCCGCCGCUCGACCCACUCUUCCAUAGUCUAGUACGCUGCAGUUACGAAGUGUAGUUCCACUACGACCUUCCUGUUGGUUUAGUCGUGGUUUAGAAGUGCGCUGCCGUAUUCCAUUAUUCUACCAAAAUUCAGAUUGACUUGCUCCAACCUGCUUCAAAUUAAAAUUUUAUCUGCUGCAAAUUAAAAUUUAGUCUGCUCCAAACUGCUCCAAAACGCAUUUUGACAUGCUCCAGAAAUUGCACCGAAAUGACUUUGGACAGUCCCACCCCUGUAUUAAAGUUCAAAGGAUAGUAGCCUCCAAGUAGUUGAUUACUUUUGAGUAAUUCCUUCAUUACUUUCAUGGGGCAGUAAUUGAUAACUGUAAUCAAUGACAUUGUUGUGUGAAGUAAUUGUAAGUGGUUACUUUUUUUCUGUAACAUCUACAAGUCUGCAUUUAAGCCUGUGACUUCCGAUAACCCUGUCUUCACUUGUGAAGGAUCCGAAAAGCUUUCGUGGCAGGAGAUUCGUGAGGCGACGUAAUUUAAUAAUGGCAUCAUCCAGAAAAGUGUUCUGGGGCCUCUUUAAACGGGGUAAGAUAUCUGGUCUGUAGACAAUGCUGUUGUCAACAUACAAGCCAAUUAUUAUUACACUGCAUGCAGCAGGAAACCUGCAAUCUCCUAAAAUAGAUUGCUUGCUCUGUC
Molecule: long non-coding RNA, 3455 nt
Organism: Dermacentor silvarum
Lineage: Eukaryota; Metazoa; Arthropoda; Arachnida; Ixodida; Ixodidae
Exons: 4
Source: RefSeq, a predicted model, not a curated record